Molecule: ribosomal RNA, 484 nt
Filed under: uncultured bacterium
Lineage: Bacteria
Description: partial 16S ribosomal RNA
Rfam family: Bacterial small subunit ribosomal RNA
Source: RNAcentral
AUUGAACGCUGGCGGCAGGCCUAACACAUGCAAGUCGAGCGGAGGAAGGGAGCUUGCUCCUGGAUUCAGCGGCGGACGGGUGAGUAAUUCCUAGGAAUCUGCCUGGUAGUGGGGGAUAACGUCCGGAAACGGGCGCUAAUACCGCAUACGUCCUGAGGGUGAAAGUGGGGGAUCUUCGGACAUCACGCUAUCAGAUGAGCCUAGGUCGGAUUAGCUAGUUGGUGGGGUAAAGGCCUACCAAGGCGACGAUCCGUAACUGGUCUGAGAGGAGGAUCAGUCACACUGGAACUGAGACACGGUCCAGACUCCUACGGGAGGCAGCAGUGGGGAAUAUUGGACAAUGGGCGAAAGCCUGAUCCAGCCAGGCCGCGUGUGUGAAGAAGGUCUUCGGAUUGUAAAGCACUUUAAGUUGGGAGGAAGGGCAGUAAGUUAAUACCUUGCUGUUUUGACGGUACCAACAGAAUAAGCACCGGCUAACUUCGUG